GGAUCAGUUCGCUGGUCGUGCCUCUGGUAUGUACUGGUGUUACUGGUUCCUCCCUUCUGACGAACUGUCAUGUCAUUUAUUUGGUGUGGCAGGGAAUCAGGACUGUUACUUUGAAAAAAUUAGAGUGUUUAAAGCAGGCUCGCGCUUGAAUACAUUAGCAUGGAAUAAUAAAAUAGGACGGCAUGGUUCUAUUUUGUUGGUUUCUAGGAUCACCGUA
RNAcentral lists this ribosomal RNA (217 nucleotides) under uncultured fungus. RNAcentral describes it as "partial small subunit ribosomal RNA". The stretch from base 38 to 217 matches the Rfam family "Eukaryotic small subunit ribosomal RNA", at positions 684 to 864 of the family's 1831-position model. The record is from RNAcentral. Lineage: Eukaryota; Fungi.